This is an unclassified non-coding RNA of 754 nucleotides. It matches the Rfam family "Eukaryotic large subunit ribosomal RNA", at positions 66 to 652 of the family's 3401-position model.
UAACGAGGAUUCCCAUAGUAACGGCGAGUGAACUGGGAAAAGCCCAGCGCUGAAUCUAAUAGCCACAGGCUAUUUAGAAUUGUAGCGUACAGGUGUAACAAUUCGAUUGUUUUACUCACCCAAAGUCCCCUUGAGUGGGGCUACAGUCCAAAGAAGGUGCUAGACCUGUACGGGUGGUGAAGCAGUUGAUGAAGUUACUCUUUGGAGUCGGGUUGCUUGGGAUUGCAGCCCAAAGAGGGUGGUAAACCUCAUCUAAGGCUAAAUAUGACCACGAGACCGAUAGCAAACAAGUACCGUGAGGGAAAGUUGCAAAGAACUUUGAAGAGAGAGUUCAAGAGGGCGUGAAACCGCUGAGAAGGAAACGGAUAGAGUUGACGAAAUCUAGCGGCAUUCAUCCAGUUGGGUCAGCGGCGCUACGGUUCUGAUCCUUGAAAAGGGUGGAAACGUGGCUUACUGUUGAUUGCUUUUGACUGGUGUAUUUGCUGCUGGUAUGCGCUGAGAGUUUUGAAGUCGUACGCUAGUGUCUAUUGAAGAGGACCAAACCUUCCGGGUUUGGAACCCUGCUUGGACUGAGGCGUAUUGGCUUUAGAACUUGUGUGUGCUAUCUCAGCUUUGGCGUAACGGUUAUCUUGUUGCAGGUGUAGCCAUCAGGCGGUCGCAUGCGACUUGUUUGUGGUUAUCACCUUGCCCUGAUAGUGCUGUUGCGUUGAGAUUAAGCCUCUCGGUGUGAAAGUCGACCACCUAUCUGACCCGU